GUCGGCUGGGCCUUUUACGGAAACAUCCUGCACUAUGUUCCUUCUAUACCUACUAACUUUACGAAGUAAUUUGCUUGUUAAAGUGUUUUAGAUAUAUAACGUACCGCAGAUGGGGGGCAUUCUAACUGAAAAUUAAUUAAUUGUGUCUAUUUUUUCAUAAAAAAUUCACGAACAGCAUGUUUAUGCUUUGAAUUUAACU
This 199-nucleotide unclassified non-coding RNA is filed under the name Moritella viscosa. Its description in RNAcentral is "putative sRNA". The record is from RNAcentral. Lineage: Bacteria; Pseudomonadati; Pseudomonadota; Gammaproteobacteria; Alteromonadales; Moritellaceae.